GUCCCACGGUGAUUCCAAAGGCACAGUCAUAAAUGACGAAGAUGAAACAAACAAAGCGGUGGAAAGUCUUCAGCGUGGCUAAGCUAACAUCAACUCAAAGACUGAAAGGCAGCACCCCUCCCAACAUUUCCACUAUGCUUUUUCUAUUUUUCUAUUCCUUUUAUAUAAGUGACAAAACUACAAAGGUUCAAACAGUGUUGCAAGUUACUAGCUUCUCCUUAUUAGUUUACCCUGUAUACCUUUCAGAAAUGAAGAUCCUUCAACCAAAAAAUUAAAUACAUAGGAUUUGUAUAAGGUUGAGCAAAAUUUAUAUUUAAUUAAAGUACAUAAAAUAUUCUGUUUGUUUCUUGUGUGAAACAUAGUGAUUUGACAUUUGUAUACAUUGUGAAAUGAUCACCACAGUAAGUAUAGUUGCUAUCAGUUAUCACACAGAGUCAAUAUAAUAUUAUUGACUGCAUUCCCCAUGCUGUACAUUACAUCCCCAUGACUUAUUUUAUAACUGGAAGUCUGUAACUUUUGAUCCUCUUCACCUAUUUGUCCUCUUCCAACCACUUUUAUUGGGGUUCCCUGAUGGCUCAGCUGGUAAAGAAUCCACCUGCAAUGCAAGAGACCCCGGUUUGAUUCCUGGGUCAGGAAGAUCUGCUGGAGAAGGGAUAGGCUACUCACUCCAGUAUUUUGGGGUUUCCCUGGUGGCUCAGCUGAUUAAGAAUCUGUCUGCAAUGUGGGGGACCUGGGUUCAAUCCCUGGGUUGGAAAGAUCCGCUGGUGAAGGGAUUGGCUGCCUGCUCCAGUAUCCUGGCCUGGAGAAUUUCAUGAAUCCUGGAGAAGGGAACAGCUACCCACUCCAGUAUUCUGGCCUGGAGAAUAUACAGUCCAUGGAAUUGCAAAGAGUCGGGCAUGACUGAGUGACUUUCACUUUCAACCGCUUUUAUCAGACUUAUUUCAUUUAGCAUAAUACCCUCAACGUCCAACUAUAUAAUAAAUGGCAAAACUUUUCCUUUUUUAUGGCUGAGUAAUAUUACAUUGUAUAUAUGUAUAUCACAUCUUCUUUAUCCAUUUAUCUAUCUAUAGACACUUAGCUUGUUUCCAUAUUUUGCUAUUAUAAAUAAUGCUGCAAGGAAUAUUGGAGAGCAUAUAUCUUUUAGAGUUAGUGGCUUUUUUUCUUUGGUUAAAUACCCAGAAUUGGAAUUUCUGGAUCAUAUGGUAGAUCUACUUUUAAUUUUUUGAGAAGCUUUCAUACUGUUUUCCAUAGUGGCUGUACCCAUUUAUAUUCCUAUCAACAGAGCACAAGUGUUCCCUUUUGCCACAUCUUUACCCACAGAGUGCCUUUAUUUAAACAAAAGGCAAAGGCACAACUGAGUGAAAGCAGUUCUGUGAGAAGCUAAGAAGCUAAGAUUAUUCCAAAGGACACGGGUGCCAACUGAAAAAGCCUACGAAACUACAAAAAUUUGAGUUCCCCUCCCCCCCAAAAAGCAGUAUUUGACUAUAACCCAAAGUAUAAAGCAAAUAUCUCUGAGUUCAUACUGACAAAAGGAAAUGAUUGAAUCAUAAGUGUGGUGGGUGGUGGGAGAUAAAUCUCCAUGAAGAAAUUUUAUAAAUCCUUUAUGAAGGUACUCUAAUUCUCCAUUCCUUAAGUACAGUUGUACUUAGUGACUUCUUUCAAAGCAUACAUUAUUUGAAAGAGGAGGAAUUAACUUUACAGUGGAGAAAAAUAAUUAAAUGCUAUUCAAGCCAGAUGGUCACAGUCAGUACCACCAGAUAUGUCAGUUUGACAGUCUUUACUGUUGGUAUGAUGUGAUGAAACUGAUACUUUACCUCUGAUUUUCCUCCCCUAAACCCAUAACUUUAGUCUGAUCAUGAUAAAAACAUCAAACAAAUUGCAUUGUAGGAGUUUUAUGUACCAUCUUCUCAAUUUUGUAAAUAUAAACCUGUUACGAAAGAAAGUUUAUUUAAAAACUUGAGUGCAUUAAAAAUGUUCAUUAUCAUCUAUAGCCUUAUAAUCCUUUCUUAUUUAGUAUGUUUAUUUUUCAUUCUGCUCUGAACAUUAUUAAAUUGAUAAUUAUAAUGCUUCCAAAUUCA
RNAcentral lists this long non-coding RNA (2078 nucleotides) under Bos grunniens (domestic yak). RNAcentral's name for it is "lncRNA (ENSBGRG00000017190.1)". The record is from RNAcentral. Lineage: Eukaryota; Metazoa; Chordata; Mammalia; Artiodactyla; Bovidae.